AAUCUGCUGAACAGUUGCCGCCCCGUCCCAAACAGAACUUUCUUUGUAUUCGUAUUUGUUUUGUAGUCAUUUAGGUUUUUUGUGUGGGUGCAUUUGCGGUUUGGGAUCUUUUUUUGGUGCUCGAUUUUUGUCACAUUGCAGUCAUUUUGUGUCUCAUGUCUUUUGCGGUUACUUUUCUCUUGUUAUAUUAGAUAUUUCUGUGGUGACCUUAGGUCAUCAUGAUUUUGGGUUUUUUGUUGCUGUGUAUGUAUCUAGUUAAUCUUAUCUAUAUUUGUUUUUUUUCCGACUUUGUGACAAGGUUAUUAUAGCUGACUAAAACAAAACUAAAACUGAAGUAAAAAAAAAAAGACAUUUCACAAAAAAAAAAACAACUAACUAGAAUAAAAUGGAAAUGCAGGAUGAUGUUUAGUCAGAGUUUGGAUGCCGACUGUGAACCAACACAAUCAGUUCUGCUUUUUUAUUACCUAUUGUCAUACCUGCACUAAUUUCUUUUUGAGCUUUGCCUCCAACACAUGUCCUUCAUAUGCAGGGAGACUAAAACUAAGGCUGGAUGUAAUACAAAUUACAACUAAAACUAAAAAUUUUCUAUAAUAAAAACUGUUGUGAAGCGAGUAAACCCAGUCUGCAAAAUGAAUGUUGGGUUUUUCUCUGUAUGUAUUAUUGUAGGGUCUACCUUCCUAUAUAAAGCUCUUUGAGGCGACUGUUGUGAUUUGGUGCUUUAUUAAUAAAAUUGAAUCAAAUUCAAAGUAAAAAUAAAACAUCAAAAUAAAAUAAAAAUAAAACAAAUCUACUUGUUGGUUGUUUUGUGUUGUUUCCAGUAACAUUUGAUCUUUUCCCAUCUCUUCCUGGUUAUUUUGCAUGUCUGUUUUGUGUUGUUAUGAUGGUGAGCAUGUUGUCUUGCUUGUCUCUCUUUAGUCAUUGCGUUUCUUUUUGUAACAAUAUUCCAUUAUUUUUUAUUCCAUUCUUUUUUUCUCAUUUUUGUCUCGUGUGGGUUAUUUUCCAUCUUUUUUGGUCAUUUUUUUCUGACUUUGUGUUAUUUUGUGUUUCUUUUGUUGCUGCGUGUGUUGGUUUUGUUUGUCUCUUUGGCCAUUUUGUGCGAAUAUUUCACAUUUUUGUUGUUAGUUUUGUCUCUGUUUGAUUAAAUGUCAUUUUUUUAAUGUUUUCUUGAUUUUCUUUUUUUUUAGUUUUUUUUUUGCAUGUUUGUUUUAUUUUGUCUCUUCUAUGUAUCGGAUUUUGUGUGUUCCUUUUUGUGAUCCUUUUGACUCUGUGGUCAUUUUGUGUAUUGUAUGGUUAGUUUUUUUUGUUUUGUUUUUGGGCCAAGUUGCUCAGUAAUAUAUUCUUGAUGCUUGAUUAUCACUUCGGUAGUGUGGAAGGGGGAGCCACCAGUGUGUCAUCGGGGGGAUUGUGAAUGUGUGUAUCUUAUAAACCUGAAAGGACUGGAGUGCUGUGACGCUGAAUAUUAACGCAGCAGAAAGUGUGUGCAUGUCAUGUGUGAAAUCAGCAGUGAAAUUGCACCUCCGUGUCUGGCUUUGACUUUUUCAUUCCAACAUGCAAACACAAACCAACCGCAAGAUGUUGCCGGAUGAUAUCAUUUUCACCAUUAUCAUAUGCACCCACAUGACACACACACACACACACACACACACACACACACACACACACACACACACACACACACACACACACACACACUGUCAAAUGCAUGCAUACUGUCUACAGUUCCUCCCUCUCACUCACCCACCUCUUUUCGAUUAUUCAUAACGAGAUUCUCCAAAAGAAGCUCUUGGUUAUGAUAUCCGGUGUGCAAAGACAGGAAGCUCAUCUAUAGGUACCAUCCCCGACUCUAAAGACACUGAAUCAGUGUCUUUAUGUGAGACUCAGCUUACAUAAAGACACCGGUUCUUCGUAUUUCCCAAUGAAACAGGAAUAAAAACCAAACUCAGACUUAAUUAUAGCACAAAUAUUUGUGUGUAGGAUCACUUCUUUUUUUUUCUUUUUUUUUUUUUUUUUUGGUAGGAUCACUUCAAGUAGCGGUGUUGGAGACUCUGUGGUCGCAUUGGUGUUAAUCAGUUAAACUACUUUUUGGUCUUUUGAAAAUAUGAAAAUAAAAUAUUGUAUUUUGGCCAUGAUAUGUAACACUCUCUGAUAUAUUUAAAUCCUGAAAAAUUAUAAUGUGGUCAUUUUUUUUUAACCUUCUUGCGAGGGGUGCAGUGGUUAGCACUGUUGCCUCACAGUAACGGGGUCCCUGGUUCAAAUCUGCCGCCUGGCUGGGGCCUUUCUGAGUGCACACUCCAUGUUCUCUGUCUCUCCAGGUAGUCAGGCUUCCUCCCACAUCCAGAGGCAUGCGCGUGAGGUUAGCAGGUUGUUUUCUGAUUUAUUGUCUCUCUGUAUUAGGCCUACGACAAUCUUUUCCUUUGUUUGUAGCCAAUUUGCAUUUUUAUUGUGAUUUAUUCUGGUCAUUGUGGUCAUUUUUAUGCCUUUAGGGCUGGUUUUCAGUGGUGUGUGAUGAUUGGGUGCCUCCUUAACGCAGUUACUUUCAGUUUUCUGUCUGUUUAGUGUUAUUUUGCAUUUUUAUUGUGACUUUAUGUUCCUAGCUGUAAUACUGUGAUUAUGUUUUGCCUCUUUUUUUUCAUCAUCACUUUUUGGCCAUUUUUGUGCUUAUUUGCAUUUUCAGUAUUGUUUCGUUUGGUUGCUGUGACCAUCCCUUGGAUCAUUUUACACAUUAAAAAAAAGAAUUUUGAAUCUCAUUAUUAUUGCCACUUUUGCUUUCUAGUCAUUACUUUUUACUCUUUGUAGUCUUUUAGGUUUUUGUUGUUGUUCCUUUUGUCUUUGUGGUCAUCUUUUUGCCAGAUUUGAUUUUGUAUUGGUUGUUUGUUUUGAUUUUGGGUUACCCCCCCCCCCCCCUUUUUUUUUCCCCCCACUUUCUGAUUUUUUAUUUUUAUUUGUUUGUAGUCGUUUUUGACUUCUUUUGUUUCCCCCUCUGUGAUCGUCCACUAACCGCUCUGUGAUCAACCUGUGUGGCUUUGUGUUAUCUUCUUGUUUAUAUGUUUUGCUAGUUCCCAUGAGAGAAAAAUAACAUCAAAAUACAGUAUGCACCUCGCAGUGUGAAUAGACAAACUUCAGAAUAACAUUUUCCAUGAUAAACACGGAGGAGUCCUUCUCCACCAAAUGGAAGAAAUAGAUCUUCUUCACUGUAAACAAUUACUGUGAAAUACCUGAAUAUAAAUAAAGAGUCUAGACACAAAGUUACACUCAUUUCCUUUUCUAAAAAUGUGUUUGUCUGUGAUUUCCCCUGCCUUUACUAAUCAGCUCAUUUAAAUCUGUAUGGAUAUAUAGUUUCCCAACAAAAGAAAGUGUGACCUUUAACAUAUGACUCACUGAAUCCCACGGAUUUCACAAAUGCCUCUUUUCAUUGAACUGGGAAAAAUAUCACCGAAAAUGAAACCUCCUCAGUUUGAGCUUUCGUAUCUUUGUGCCUUUCCCUUUUCCUGACUUUCCGAAUCUUUGUCAGGCCAGUCCCAAAAACACGGUGACACAUUCCCCACAUGUAACCCUCAUGGUAUCCGUAAAGCCAUCAAAAAGCUUUUUUUUGUUCUUUGCUGAUUUUGCUCCCUGGUUGCAUCAUGCAAUCCCAGGAAUAUGCG
Long non-coding RNA from Astatotilapia calliptera (eastern happy), 3644 nucleotides. The record is from Ensembl. NCBI's taxonomy places the organism in Eukaryota, Metazoa, Chordata, Actinopteri, Cichliformes, Cichlidae.